This 454-nucleotide ribosomal RNA is filed under the name uncultured bacterium. RNAcentral describes it as "bacterial SSU rRNA". It matches the Rfam family "Bacterial small subunit ribosomal RNA", at positions 29 to 526 of the family's 1533-position model. The record is from RNAcentral.
AACGAACGCUGGCGGCAGGCUUAACACAUGCAAGUCGAACGGGCGUAGCAAUACGCUAGUGGCAGACGGGUGAGGAACACGUGGGAAUAUUCCUUUCAGUUCGGAAUAACUCAGGGAAACUUGAGCUAAUACCGGAUACGUCCUUCGGGCGAAAGAUUUAUCGCUGAAAGAUUAGCCCGCGUCUGAUUAGCUAGUUGGUGAGGUAAUGGCUCACCAAGGCGACGAUCAGUAGCUGGUCUGAGAGGAUGAGCAGCCACAUUGGGACUGAGACACGGCCCAAACUCCUACGGGAGGCAGCAGUGGGGAAUAUUGGACAAUGGGCGCAAGCCUGAUCCAGCCAUGCCGCGUGAGUGAUGAAGGCCUUCGGGUUGUAAAGCUCUUUUGUCCGGGAAGAUAAUGACUGUACCGGAAGAAUAAGCCCCGGCAAACUUCGUGCCAGCCGCCGCCGUAAGAC